This is a long non-coding RNA of Nematolebias whitei (Rio pearlfish), 391 nucleotides long. RefSeq lists it as uncharacterized. Lineage: Eukaryota; Metazoa; Chordata; Actinopteri; Cyprinodontiformes; Rivulidae. The record is from RefSeq and is a predicted model, not a curated record. The transcript is spliced from 3 exons.
UCAACUUGCUGCCUGUCAGAAAAGUAACAUAUACCCCUUAUCAAAUUCAAGACUCCACACCAUGUUUACAUAUGAGGCCAAAGAGAUAUGUUCUGCCUUAUCCUGGUGAAGAUCAGAAAGAUGCCCAUAAAAUUUUCCAGGAUGUAGGGCUGAAGGUGGCAACAAACUUGCAAAUAAAAGUGCCCUCCUGCCUCAGAUUUAAGGGAAGAGAAUAUCAUUUAGGUUACAGUGGGUUUGGUGUUCAGUAUUCAAGAGUGAAUGCAAUGGCUGCGCCAGACAGAAUAGCUAUGAGCGGGCCUCCAGGGCUUGGAGGAUCCCUCGCUCCCAGCGCUGAACCAAUCGAGACAGUCCGCACUUUCUUCCCAGAGACUUGGAUAUGGGACCUGGUGGA